RNAcentral lists this ribosomal RNA (629 nucleotides) under Staphylococcus aureus. RNAcentral's name for it is "partial 23S ribosomal RNA". It matches the Rfam family "Bacterial large subunit ribosomal RNA", at positions 2274 to 2904 of the family's 2925-position model. The record is from RNAcentral. Lineage: Bacteria; Bacillati; Bacillota; Bacilli; Caryophanales; Staphylococcaceae.
CUGGGGCGGUCGCCUCCUAAAAGGUAACGGAGGCGCUCAAAGGUUCCCUCAGAAUGGUUGGAAAUCAUUCAUAGAGUGUAAAGGCAUAAGGGAGCUUGACUGCGAGACCUACAAGUCGAGCAGGGUCGAAAGACGGACUUAGUGAUCCGGUGGUUCCGCAUGGAAGGGCCAUCGCUCAACGGAUAAAAGCUACCCCGGGGAUAACAGGCUUAUCUCCCCCAAGAGUUCACAUCGACGGGGAGGUUUGGCACCUCGAUGUCGGCUCAUCGCAUCCUGGGGCUGUAGUCGGUCCCAAGGGUUGGGCUGUUCGCCCAUUAAAGCGGUACGCGAGCUGGGUUCAGAACGUCGUGAGACAGUUCGGUCCCUAUCCGUCGUGGGCGUAGGAAAUUUGAGAGGAGCUGUCCUUAGUACGAGAGGACCGGGAUGGACAUACCUCUGGUGUACCAGUUGUCGUGCCAACGGCAUAGCUGGGUAGCUAUGUGUGGACGGGAUAAGUGCUGAAAGCAUCUAAGCAUGAAGCCCCCCUCAAGAUGAGAUUUCCCAACUUCGGUUAUAAGAUCCCUCAAAGAUGAUGAGGUUAAUAGGUUCGAGGUGGAAGCAUGGUGACAUGUGGAGCUGACGAAUACUAA